This 253-nucleotide ribosomal RNA is filed under the name uncultured bacterium. Its description in RNAcentral is "partial 16S ribosomal RNA". It matches the Rfam family "Bacterial small subunit ribosomal RNA", at positions 524 to 776 of the family's 1533-position model. The record is from RNAcentral.
GACGUAGGGUGCGAGCGUUGUCCGGAUUUAUUGGGCGUAAAGAGCUCGUAGGCGGCUUGUUGCGUCGACCGUGAAAACCCGGGGCUCAACUUCGGGCUUGCGGUCGAUACGGGCGGGCUAGAGUUCGGUAGGGGAGACUGGAAUUCCUGGUGUAGCGGUGAAAUGCGCAGAUAUCAGGAGGAACACCGGUGGCGAAGGCGGGUCUCUGGGCCGAUACUGACGCUGAGGAGCGAAAGCGUGGGGAGCGAACGGG